CUGACUGCUAUCGGAUUGAUACUAAGCCAUGCGAGUCAUUGUAGUAAUACAAGGCAGACGGCUCAGUAACGCGUAGUCAACCUAACCUAUGGACGGGAAUAACCUCGGGAAACUGAGUAUAAUGCCCGAUAGAACAUUAUGCCUGGAAUGGUUUAUGUUCCAAACGAUUUAUCGCCGUAGGAUGGGACUGCGGCCUAUCAGUUUGUUGGUGAGGUAAUGGCCCACCAAGACUAUUACAGGUACGGGCUCUGAGAGGAGUAGCCCGGAGAUGGGUACUGAGACACGGACCCAGGCCCUAUGGGGCGCAGCAGGCGAGAAAACUUUGCAAUGUGCGAAAGCACGACAAGGUUAAUCCGAGUGGUUUCUGCUAAAGGAACCUUUUGUCGGUCCUAGAAACACCGAUGAAUAAGGGGUGGGCAAGUUCUGGUGUCAGCCGCCGCGGUAAAACCAGCACCUCAAGUGGUCAGGAUGAUUAUUGGGCCUAAAGCAUCCGUAGCCGGCUCUGUUAGUUUUCGGUUAAAUCUGUACGCUCAACGUACAGGCUGCCGGGAAUACUGCAAAGCUAGGGAGUGGGAGAGGUAGACGGUACUCGUAGGAAGGGGUAAAAUCCUUUGAUCUAUUGAUGACCACCUGUGGCGAAGGCGGUCUACCAGAACACGUCCGACGGUGAGGGAUGAAAGCUGGGGGAGCAAACCGGAUUAGAUACCCGGGUAGUCCCAGCUGUAAACUAUGCAAACUCAGUGAUGCAUUGG
Molecule: ribosomal RNA, 752 nt
Filed under: uncultured marine archaeon
Lineage: Archaea
Description: bacterial SSU rRNA
Rfam family: Archaeal small subunit ribosomal RNA
Source: RNAcentral